This 630-nucleotide ribosomal RNA is filed under the name Triticum aestivum (bread wheat). RNAcentral's name for it is "partial small subunit ribosomal RNA". Lineage: Eukaryota; Viridiplantae; Streptophyta; Magnoliopsida; Poales; Poaceae. The record is from RNAcentral.
AUGUCCACUGGCGCAUGUAUCACAGCUAGCCUCCCAUUCCUUGGUCUCCGAGGAGUAAACGCAGGCGAUCCCUGGUUUAUGCUGUUCUUUGUGCGUGCCUAUCAAGACGACUUGGAAGUGGCGGAUGUCUCCGGCAGGCCGGAGCACUGCCCCUCUGACCCGGGUCGGCGCCGCCAUGUAGAAGCUUGGGGGAACGGCAACGCGGUGCUGGUCGCCGUUGACAGGGUCCCACACCAGGGCCUGGUUGUGCUUCCCGAACAAGAUGAGCACGAGGCCAUGGCGGCAGUUGAGGAGCCUGUAGCGGUCGCCGUCGUCGAACUGCAAAGAGAAGCGCCCGACGGGGACACGGUUGGGGGGCUCCAGAGUUGGUACGAAGGAGAUCCCGCGGGCAGGAAUCACUUCCUCAAAGAAGAAGCCGAGGAGGGGAGGGUUGCGGCGGUGAUGGCGGCGGAAUCGGCGGAGGAAUCGGGGGUCAGAGACGAGGCAACACCAGCGCUUGCAGACGAGCGAGGCGCGCGGGAGGGAGGAGGGCUGAGGGGGGAGGCGGAGGAGGAUCUCGGACAGCAGAUCUUCGUCGUCCAGCGGCGCCGCCGCCGCCGGCGAGCGGGAAGGGCGGCGGAAGCUGCUCAU